UACGUAGGGUGCAAGCGUUGUCCGGAAUUAUUGGGCGUAAAGAGCUCGUAGGCGGUUUGUCGCGUCGAAUGUGAAAUCCCGGGGCUCAACCCCGGGCCUGCAUUCGAUACGGGCAGACUAGAGUUCGGUAGGGGAGUCUGGAAUUCCUGGUGUAGCGGUGAAAUGCGCAGAUAUCAGGAGGAACACCGGUGGCGAAGGCGGUUCUCUGGGCAUGACCUGACGCUGAGGAGCGAAAGUGUGGGGAGCGAACAGG
This 253-nucleotide ribosomal RNA is filed under the name uncultured bacterium. RNAcentral's name for it is "partial 16S ribosomal RNA". It matches the Rfam family "Bacterial small subunit ribosomal RNA", at positions 524 to 776 of the family's 1533-position model. The record is from RNAcentral.